Long non-coding RNA from Gallus gallus (chicken), 2004 nucleotides. The record is from Ensembl. Lineage: Eukaryota; Metazoa; Chordata; Aves; Galliformes; Phasianidae.
CACCCAAACAGCAAUGUAGAAAGCUCUCUUGAUAUGACAGCUGCAGGAAAACUCUGUCAUGCUCACCCCACUUUUCUAUUUACUUAUCAGAGAAAAUUCCCUCCUAACUGGUUUUCCUUUUGUUCCUAUCUGCUUUUCUUUUGUGGAAGAGCUGGUUUUCCUGCAGAAAGUCUACAACUUUUACAGCAGUUCUGAUACCAGGUCUUUGGGUUAGAGGUCUUUUAUUCUUCAAGUUCAUUUCUCCUAAAGAUUACAGACAGCUCUCAGUAUUGAAACUUAAGGUGUGGAAGUUCCUAGUGCAGAGACUGUGAAGAGAAAGGGAAGUUUGUAAUAAAAUAAGGGAACUGGCAUGAUGUGAUACUGCAGGGAUUACAGACAGUGGCAGCAUGCUUCCUUCAUGGAACAGGAUGCUAGAAAUGAAAAGAUUCAAAACUUUUACUUUUUGUAUUACUGCUUGUUUGUUUUGCUGGAGGGAACUUAGUUAAGCUGGUGGGAAUUGUUCUGUGUAACAACCGGCAGCCCUACUCUUGCUGCUGUCUCCUCCAAGAGAAGAAUAGUCAUUACUUUUGUGAUCUUCACCAAGAAUAUACUAUACUCCAUCUGCUAGUUCUGCAGCUGUGGUUAACUAAUAAACAGUAUUCCCAGUCCUGUGCUAACUGCAUUUGUUGUGGCUAGUAGGCAAACAAAGAUAUCUUGACAGAAUACGGUGUUACACAGGCUGUUAAAAAGCAGCCCUAUCAAGUUUAGAUCCAACAGAACCAAAGGGGAAAGUUUUGCCUUUGCCAUAUGGAAAAACAAACAAGCCAAAAACACUUUACUCACAAUUUUCGGAAACUGUAAAGCAGGUAGUGUGCAGUAAUGAUAAGAAUGUGCCGGAGGCCAUGAAGGAUUGAUAUCUACUUCAGAAAUACUCAGAAGCAAUGGCUUUCUUUCCCCUCCCCAUGUCCAGUGACAAGAGGAAAUUCCCUCCUGAAAUGCUUCAGCAAAUUUCUCAGCCUUCUCCAGAGCCUUAAUCUUGGAUCUCUCUCUGCUCAAGAUGGAAAGAGGGCUAUCUGUGAUCCAAACAGAACAGGGCUGCCUCUGCCCUGCCAGCCUUAUGUUCACAGCCUCAGCGGAGCUCCCAGCAUGCUGAAACUGGUGUCCAAGAGCCUUGCUGAGAGGACACACUGAAAACAAGACUUCAAAGGACCAGCUACUUGCAGAAGGCCCUGACAAACGUGGAUGUGAAGAAGCUGUACUGGGCAUGCUGGAUGUUGGGUGCAGCAGGUAUGCUGUAAAGCGGAGAUGGCGAAGGAAUGCUGUAGGAGGAUCAGACUUCUUGAAGGGGGAUUUGGAAGAGCAUCUGCAAGGAGUGCAUUUCCCAAGCUUCUGAAGGGACACAACUCUAGCAGUGCCAACCAGGACGAUUGCUCUGCCUGGGCUGCUGCCACCAACACAACUUCUCCCCUGGUGCCCAUGGGAACCGCUCUUGGAGGUUUUGGGGUACAACUCAGACCUCCUAUCUCAUGGGCAGCUCAGCUGUUUUCCCAUGGAGCAGGAAAAGGAGGUGGUGGAUUAAUUGCUGCUGUACUGUACCUGGACCAGCACAGCCCUGCAAAGCACAGAAGCUACAGUAUCACCUUUCUUUGAUUAAAGAAGAUGUGACGAAGAUUCCUUCAAACCGACCUACCAUAGUCCAUUCAAGAGAGUUUUGCAUAUCCCAUUGGGAGUGUUUGUCAUUGUACAGCUAACAGCGCGUGCUGAGGGAUGUGGGAAUUCAGAGGAAGGGUGGCUUUGUUCUGUCUCUCUGUGUCCGGUGCUGGUUUAAUCCUCCUCCCACUUACCUCACCACUAAGAUCCCCUUUUGUAGAGCAACAACCCUUAAGUGUUAACCACUCAUCUCAGCCCUUCCAGAUGAAGCCUGUGUGUCAUGAAGCUGGAGACAUUCAGAUGCCCAUUUGGAUAGAUCUUCAGCCUGGUCCACACCCCCUCUCCAGCAACACAAGUUCUGCGUGUCCUGACGCC